This 800-nucleotide ribosomal RNA is filed under the name uncultured bacterium. RNAcentral describes it as "bacterial SSU rRNA". It matches the Rfam family "Bacterial small subunit ribosomal RNA", at positions 8 to 788 of the family's 1533-position model. The record is from RNAcentral.
AGAGUUUGAUCCUGGCUCAGAAUCAACGCUGGCGGCGUGCCUAACACAUGCAAGUCGAACGCGAAAGGGGCUUCGGCCCUGAGUAGAGUGGCAAACGGGUGAGUAACGCGUGGGUGACCUACCCUUGAGCGGGGGAUAACGUUUCGAAAGGGACGCUAAUACCGCAUGACAUCCUGCCCUUGGACGGGCGGUGAUCAAAGCCGGGGAUCGCAAGACCUGGCACUCGAGGAGGGGCCCGCGUCCGAUUAGCUAGUUGGUGGGGUAAUGGCUCACCAAGGCUCCGAUCGGUAGCCGGCCUGAGAGGGCGGACGGCCACACUGGGACUGAGACACGGCCCAGACUCCUACGGGAGGCAGCAGUGGGGAAUUGUUCGCAAUGGGCGCAAGCCUGACGACGCAACGCCGCGUGGAGGAUGAAGAUCUUCGGAUCGUAAACUCCUGUCGAACGGGACGAACGGCCUGGCCGUGAACAACGGCCGGGAGUGACGGUACCGUGAGAGGAAGCCCCGGCUAACUCCGUGCCAGCAGCCGCGGUAAUACGGGGGGGGCAAGCGUUGUUCGGAAUUACUGGGCGUAAAGGGCUCGUAGGUGGCCGCCUCAGUCCGACGUGAAAUCCCUCGGCUCAACCGGGGAACUGCGUCGGAUACUGGGUGGCUUGAAUCCGGGAGAGGGACGUGGAAUUCCAGGUGUAGCGGUGAAAUGCGUAGAUAUCUGGAGGAACACCGGUGGCGAAGGCGGCGUCCUGACCGGUAUUGACACUGAGGAGCGAAAGCCAGGGGAGCAAACGGGAUUAGAUACCCC